UCCAGCACCAAAAAAAAAAAAAAAAUUGGGCUGGGGUUGUGACUCAGUGAUAGAGUGCUCACCUAGCAUGCAUGAGAUACUGGGUUCGAUCCUCAGCACUACAUAGAAAUAAAAUAUUUUUUAAAAGAGUUGUUGUUUGAUUAAAAAAAGAAGAAGAAAGAAAAGAAAGAAAGGCUGGGGAUGUGGCUCAGUGAUUAAGCAACCUUGGGUUCGACCCAGUAAACUCAUCUUGAAGGAUAACACGACAGGGCAUGAGAGUUUGAGAGAGUCAGCUCAGCCUUCUGAGCUUAUUUGAACAUCAGAAAUAUCAGCUAAAUCCAGACAAAGUAGAAAAUAAUAUCAGAAUUUCUCAGAUGAUAAAGACAAUGAGGUGAGAAACAAAUUCAUGCAUAGAAUAGCUACUAAAGUAACCCACAGUUACCUUUAUUAGUAUACUCCUAAAGUGGAGAUUUAAAAAUGGUAAUGUGACAUGGGACCCAUAAAGAAGGAUGAAGAGUGUAGGCUCAACUAAGGACCCAUCUAUAUGGAAUACAUCAAAAGCCAGAGUCCCUGUCUACCCCACAGAUGUACUUUGCUUGAGUCAGCCUGGGAUUCCUGUCCCUUGUGUGCUCACUCCCUUCUGACUCAACCAAAAGUCCCUAAUAAAUCCUUGCCUAUACUUAAAUUCUUUCAGGGUCUGGUGCUCAUUUCUACAACUCUGGGUCCAAAAACCCAAGCUUCCUUAAUGGUGUUAGGUUUGUUAACAGAGGUGACAACAGGGGCUGGGAAGAUGGUCUACUCCUGGCACUGUUCAUCAUCACCAGGCAACAGGUGAAGGCCAAGAACUGCCACACUUUGACAGCCUGUAAUCCCAGCGGCUCAAAAGGCUAACACAGGAGAAUCGAGAAUUCAAAGCCAGAUUCUGCAAAAAGGAAGGCACUAAACAAACUCACUAAGACCCUGUCUCUAAAUAAAAUACACAAAAAUAAGUCACUGAGCUCAGCUGCCAGGAUGGGAGGAGAGGUGGACACCAGACCAAAAGAAGCAGAGAAUAACUGUGGAUGGGUGAACUACUGCCUGUCUGUGCCUGAGUGAGUUAACAGCCUGGUGUAUAUUCUUCCAUGGACACCCCCUCCCAUUUCACACAAAUAUAAAAUUCCCUUGUUUGUUCUAAAAAUGGUAUUGUAGCUGGGUACAGAGGCUCACUACUGUAAUCCAAGUACCUGAGGCUGAGACAGGAGGAUUGCAAGUUCACAUAGCUCAGGUCCACAUUGUGGACCAAGUUCAAGGCCAGCCUCAGCAAAUUAGUGAGAUCCUUAGCAACUUAGUGAGAACCUGUCUCAAAAUAAAUAAAAUAAAAUAAAAGGACUGGGGAUAUAGCUCAGUGGUAAAGCAGCUCUGGGUUAAAUCCCUAGUACCAAUAAAUAAAAAAAUAAAAAUAGUGCUCUCUACAACCAGCAUUUCUUGCCAAAUACAUCAUGGAUAUAACCUUCAAGUCAGUAGAUAGAGAUCUGGAUUAAGAACAAUUAAAUUUAAUUAAAAAUUUAAUUUUUAAAUUUUUUGAGAGACUAUCUUGCUAAAUUGCUCAGGCUGACCUCAAAUUAAUAUUUCAUAGGAUGUUAUUUCCCAGUUUGUUCAACUAUCCUCCCUUCAUAGACAAUCAGGUGGUUUCCAGUCUUCAUUACUGCCAACAAAAUUACAACAAAUAAAGUCAUUUAUAUUUAUGAA
This 1707-nucleotide long non-coding RNA is filed under the name Marmota monax (woodchuck). Lineage: Eukaryota; Metazoa; Chordata; Mammalia; Rodentia; Sciuridae. The record is from RNAcentral.